GCUAUAGGUCUCCAAUGUCAGGCUUUCAGAGGACAUGAUGUUAAAAGGAGUUGUAGAAUGUGACUUCUUCCACGGAGUGGAGACAGGCUUCAAAAGCUCCAGUGCAGAAAGACAUCAGUCACCGUGGAAGUUUCCUUUAAAAGCUGCAAUGCCUUCAACCCUCCUGAAGUCCUCAGUUCAUUUUGUCCUUGACAACUGGAGUUCAUCUGCUUUUCAACAAAAUGGCUAACUGAAGUAAAAUAAAAUAAAAUGAA
Molecule: long non-coding RNA, 254 nt
Filed under: Chinchilla lanigera (long-tailed chinchilla)
Lineage: Eukaryota; Metazoa; Chordata; Mammalia; Rodentia; Chinchillidae
Description: lncRNA (ENSCLAG00000024066.1)
Source: RNAcentral